Molecule: ribosomal RNA, 443 nt
Filed under: uncultured bacterium
Lineage: Bacteria
Description: bacterial SSU rRNA
Rfam family: Bacterial small subunit ribosomal RNA
Source: RNAcentral
AAUCAACGCUGGCGGCGUGCCUCAGACAUGCAAGUCGAACGCGAAAGGUUCCUUCGGGGACCGAGUAGAGUGGCGCACGGGUGAGUAACACGUAGGUAAUUUGCCUUUGGGUGGGGAAUAACUCAGGGAAACUUGAGCUAAUACCGCAUAAUGCAGCGGCUCGACAUCGAGACAGUUGUUAAAGCGGGGGAUUCGCAAGAACCUCGCGCCUAAAGAGAAGCCUGCGGCAGAUAGCUAGUUGGUAAGGUAAUGGCUUACCAAGGCGACGAUCUGUAACCGGCCUGAGAGGGCGGUCGGUCACACUGACACUGACAUACGGGUCAGACUCCUACGGGAGGCAGCAGUCGGGAAUUUUGGGCAAUGGGCGAAAGCCUGACCCAGCAACGCCGCGUGAAGGAUGAAAUUUUCGGAAUGUAAACUUCGCAAGAACAGGAAGAAUAAGU